AGCGAACGCUGGCGGCAGGCCUAACACAUGCAAGUCGAACGAACCUUUCGGGGUUAGUGGCGGACGGGUGAGUAACACGUGGGAACGUGCCUUUAGGUUCGGAAUAACUCAGGGAAACUUGUGCUAAUACCGAAUGUGCCCUUCGGGGGAAAGAUUUAUCGCCUUUAGAGCGGCCCGCGUCUGAUUAGCUAGUUGGUUGAGGUAAUGGCUCACCAAGGCGACGAUCAGUAGCUGGUCUGAGAGGAUGAUCAGCCACAUUGGGACUGAGACACGGCCCAAACUCCUACGGGAGGCAGCAGUGGGGAAUCUUGCGCAAUGGGCGAAAGCCUGACGCAGCCAUGCCGCGUGAAUGAUGAAGGUCUUAGGAUUGUAAAAUUCUUUCACCGGGGACGAUAAUCACGGUACCCGGAGAAGAAGCCCCGGCUAACUUCGUG
RNAcentral lists this ribosomal RNA (434 nucleotides) under uncultured bacterium. Its description in RNAcentral is "partial 16S ribosomal RNA". It matches the Rfam family "Bacterial small subunit ribosomal RNA", at positions 29 to 507 of the family's 1533-position model. The record is from RNAcentral.